UAUUCUACUUAAUGGUAUGAAGGGUUGAGAUCUUUUGCAUGAUUACCUUGUUUUGAUAACAUGUCCAUGUUGAAGAUUGCAUAGACAAAUUCAGAUACAUUAACGUUAUAUGGUAUACUAACAAAGCAUGUCUCAUUUUAUUCUAGAUUACCCUUCUAUGAUUUGAUCAUCGAACUAAAUGUAACACAUCAAAUUUUUAAGACACCAUAAUAUUCUAAAGAACUUACAAAUGCUCUUCUUUGAACUUUGGCUGAGCAGGUACCUAGAAUGUUCGGGUAAGUUUGUUCCUGCCAUUGCAGGGAAACUGUAUCAGAUAUUGUUGAGAGUUCUAUUUAGUUAUUGCCUUAAUAUUUCAAAUGAUGUCCUGACUUAUGUAGGUUUAAUAAGUUUUGCUUAGAUCUCUAUAGUGUAUCUGAGGUUUAAUUCCAUCUUCAUUGCUUUACAAAAACAUGAUGAGUUAACUUGGAUGAAAGAGCUAGAAUUUUUCAAAAGAGCAUGUGAACAAAUUUAUUAUUUUCCCUAGGAAUGUAGGUUAUGAUUUCAUUUUGAUUUUUAUGCAAGGAAAGUCUCUUUGGCUCUUCCACCACGAUGUUGACAACCUUUAUCAUUUUCUCUAUCAAGCUUGGUUUCCAUAAUGAUUGGCUGUGUAGAAUUUCAUCUGGUUACCACCUAAACAAGUUUAUAAUAGCACUCUGCAACUUCAAAAGAUAUAAGUUUAACACUCCUAAGAUUUGCUCAUCGCUAAUGGUGGCUACCCAAAGGUAAUUUCGGUAUUCAACGUGCUCAUAGAACUCGGAAUUUCUAGCAGCUGUCAAGUUACAGAUUCUGAGAAUAUAUCUGAAGAUCGGCAUGCUCCUUUUUUUAAGAAAUAAAAUGGUUACUUGACUAUUUA
This is a non-coding RNA of Elaeis guineensis (African oil palm), 892 nucleotides long. Lineage: Eukaryota; Viridiplantae; Streptophyta; Magnoliopsida; Arecales; Arecaceae. The record is from RefSeq and is a predicted model, not a curated record.